This 373-nucleotide ribosomal RNA is filed under the name uncultured bacterium. RNAcentral describes it as "bacterial SSU rRNA". It matches the Rfam family "Bacterial small subunit ribosomal RNA", at positions 527 to 898 of the family's 1533-position model. The record is from RNAcentral.
GGAGGGUGCGAGCGUUGUCCGGAAUCACUGGGCGUAAAGGGCGCGUAGGCGGCCCGGUAAGUAGGGGGUGAAAUCCUGCGGCUCAACCGCAGAACCGCCUUCUAGACUGCCAGGCUCGAGCACAGUAGAGGCAGACGGAAUUCCCGGUGUAGCGGUGGAAUGCGUAGAGAUCGGGAAGAACACCGGUGGCGAAGGCGGUCUGCUGGGCUGUUGCUGACGCUGAGGCGCGACAGCGUGGGGAGCAAACAGGAUUAGAUACCCUGGUAGUCCACGCCGUAAACGAUGGGUACUAGGCGUCGGGGGGAGCGACCCUCCCGGUGCCGUCGCUAACGCACUAAGUACCCCGCCUGGGGAGUACGGCCGCAAGGCUGAA